GUUAUUCGACCACGUAUCAGCAAGUCAGCUCGUUUGAGAUACAGGCGGUUCGGUUUUGACGAGUUGCGGGUUUAACCUUUGGGGUUGGUUUGGAACGUUGAACUGAACGUAUAAACCGAAUUGACCAUUUAAUUUUAGUAUUUAUAUAUAUUUUAAAAUUUUCGAACAUGUAGUUCUGUAUGCGUAUAUUAUAAUUAUGAUUCUUCUAAUCAUUUGUAAUUUUUUUAGUAAACUGAUCAUUUUGUAUAAUAAAUUGGUUCAAACCGACGAAACCGAGCUGUCAAAACUGUCAAACCAGCCCAUUUGGCUUGUCCUUCCCUGGAACGGUUGUUAGCAUUUCGACCCAUAAUUUUGUGAAAACUAUCUUGGGCUGUGACCAUCAAUAUUUUAAAAACAUAUAAACAUAUAAACUUCCAGACUAAACCUCUUUUUCAACAACAUUAAACAGUUAUAGGUUAAAGUACAUCAAUUACUUUGGGAUACUGUCUUUUGUCACUGACCAUCAAUAUUUAAAAUUUUUAAUCUUGCAACUUUUACUGGCCGCUCGAGGUAAUCAAAAGACUUUUACCCGGUACCAAAUGCUCAUCCCUACGCAGAGCUAACGUUUCUUUAUAACAUUUAAGGUUGCCAAAUUAAUUCUUAAUUUCUGAGAAGACAAGUGAACAUGAACAGAAAACAUAUAAUGACAAGAUGUUUAAAUAUAUUAUACUAAUGUUGUAACACCUCGAAAUUUUGUGUCCAAUAAAGUAUUGACACGUGUCAUAAGUUUACACGUGGUAUAAAAUACUAAAUAAAGGACUAAAGUUGACAAACCUUGAAAGUAUGUAAAUUCGAGGGUUAGAAAUGUCAACGAGGGGUGAAUAUACAGUAAUAACCCUAAUUGAUGCUCGUACCUUCAAACGAAUAAAUCAUGGAUCGUACGGAGCGAAACGCGGAAGAAAGUGAGAGAUUACAAACUACAAGGGUUAAAUGUGUCAACAUGUUUAAUUUAUACCUCUGAGUGACCUUUUGACAAACCCGAGACUUUGUAAUAGUAAAUUACACUCACUAGAAUAUACGAUAUAAAUUUCGUGAAGUUCCGUUUUAAAACGAGAAAGUUAUAAUCAAAUUCGUAUGCUUGGGGUUAAAAGCGUCAACAAUAAAAGUUAAGGCUUUUCGGAUAGUAAUUAAACUAACCGGGGACUUAACAACACGGGUAAAAGUCGCGAGGCCCUUAUUCGUAAAUAAUCGAGGCCCAAAUCACAAAGUUACCCCUUCAAAACAGAAAGGUCAGGCUAAUCAUUACAAAAGAUUUGAAAAUCUUGAAUUACAGGCCUCAGGCGGGCCGCGUUAAAGAAACCAGCAAGCUAAUGCGGGCCGCGAGCCACCUGCAGAUUCGUUUACUGACAUUAGGAUUCAGGCGGCCCGCGUGAGCCCAGCUUGAAUCUUAAAGCGGGCCGCGUGAGCCUCCCAGAGGUAGAAAACUUGGACAGAUUCACUGUUUGAGCUUGUAAACGAUCUUGGAUGCAUUAAUUGAAGCAUGGGCGCCCCCUACAUGUCCCCUAGCACUCAGGGACACCUGCUGAUCAUCCAUAAGCAAUUAUAGGAUGAGUUGUAAUGAUCUUGUGCAUGAAAUUUCACUAUAAAAGGCAAUGCAUUGCACACAUUUGAAACACACCUCAAACCUGCUUUCUUGAUCAUCUCUGGAGCUCUAAAGCAUUCCUCUAUCAUCUCUAGUCGUGCACCAAGCUUCUGUAAGUUUGCCUAACCCUUUGUGGUUUAGUUUUUGCAUAGUUUAGCUUAAAAGUCAAUCCUUCGUAAUUAACGAUUGACUUUGCGAUAAAUCACGAAUGGUCCAAUGAUUUGUCGAAUCGAAGGUAGUUAUAUGUUGGUAAUCAUGUGGGCUUUAAACCCCUAAAAGGGCACCCUCUGAUUCCCAAUCUAACUAGUCCGAAUGACGAGUCAAACUUGCUUAGAAAAAGUCAACAGAAUGCCUUUUUGCGAUUUUAUGCAUAAUCAGUAAUGUAGAUGACUCGGUUCGGAACCGAAAGUCGCAAAGCUUUGACUUUCGCUUUGACUUCAGUUCUGACCCGUUAUGGUAUGAUUUAGAUAUGCCUUAGGACUCUCUUAGGAUCAGGUUACAUGAUGGUAUAACCCUCUGUGACCGGUUCGUUGUUUGUCCGAGUCUUUUACACAUUUCCGUUAAUUGCUUAAAAGUUGACCGUAACGCCCUUUACAUUUUAAAACGAGAAUUUCGGACAUGUGAAAGAACCAUAACUUUAGUUACUGAAUUCUAAGCAUGUCCCAAAAAUUUCACGUCAAUCCGAGGUCCAGAAUAGGAGUUAUGCUAAAUAGCGCAAUUACGGAAUUUUUAGUAAUUCAAUGGCGCAAUUAGCAUAACGCCUAUCUAAACCCAGAUUUCGACACCAAACUUUUUACACACUGAUGUAAAAUAAUAUUUAGAAAUUUUAAAGAUUUUUAAUCAUUUUUAACCCGCUCAUAACCUGCGGUUAUGGCAUCGGUUCGGUAAAUACCGAAUAUACCCUUUACGAGCAUAACUCGAGUUCUACAAGGUCUUUUGACCCGAUUCUAGUUGCUACUGAUUUUAAAUAAUAAAUAGAGUAUUUUAGACUUUAUAAACUGUUCGGGAAACUCAGACUUCCUGUAGAACUCAGAAACCUCAUUUUAAAUAAUAAUGAAUUGUAUGUUUCUUUUUUUAGCACUUUGUUUUUUUGGCUAGUUGCCUUUAAACGAAGAUGCUUUGUUUGUAAUUUUGUUUUUGAAAUAUUAACAAAAUUUACCCGGGGAUUCCCCGU
RNAcentral lists this long non-coding RNA (2795 nucleotides) under Helianthus annuus (common sunflower). RNAcentral describes it as "hypothetical non coding rna". Lineage: Eukaryota; Viridiplantae; Streptophyta; Magnoliopsida; Asterales; Asteraceae. The record is from RNAcentral.